UCCCUAGUGGCUCAGUUGGUAAAAAAUCUGCCUGCAAGGCAGGAGACCUGGGUUUAAUCCCCAGGUAGGGAA
Molecule: transfer RNA, 72 nt
Filed under: Bos taurus (domestic cattle)
Lineage: Eukaryota; Metazoa; Chordata; Mammalia; Artiodactyla; Bovidae
Also listed under: 4 other names
Rfam family: tRNA
About the family: Transfer RNA (tRNA) molecules are approximately 80 nucleotides in length. Their secondary structure includes four short double-helical elements and three loops (D, anti-codon, and T loops). Further hydrogen bonds mediate the characteristic L-shaped molecular structure. tRNAs have two regions of fundamental functional importance: the anti-codon, which is responsible for specific mRNA codon recognition, and the 3' end, to which the tRNAs corresponding amino acid is attached (by aminoacyl-tRNA synthetases). tRNAs cope with the degeneracy of the genetic code in two manners: having more than one tRNA (with a specific anti-codon) for a particular amino acid; and 'wobble' base-pairing, i.e. permitting non-standard base-pairing at the 3rd anti-codon position.
Source: Rfam by way of RNAcentral